RNAcentral lists this ribosomal RNA (325 nucleotides) under uncultured delta proteobacterium. RNAcentral describes it as "bacterial SSU rRNA". It matches the Rfam family "Bacterial small subunit ribosomal RNA", at positions 1056 to 1382 of the family's 1533-position model. Lineage: Bacteria; Deltaproteobacteria. The record is from RNAcentral.
AGGCUCGUGUCGUGAGAUGUUGGGUUAAGUCCCGCAACCAGCGCAACCCCCGCCUUUAGUUGCUACCAUUCAGUUGAGCACUCUAAAGGGACCGCCGGCGUUAAGCCGGAGGAAGGUGGGGAUGACGUCAAGUCCUCAUGGCCCUUAUGUCCAGGGCUACACACGUGCUACAAUGGGCGGUACAGAGGGUUGCCAACCCGCGAGGGGGAGCCAAUCCCAGAAAGCCGUCCUCAGUUCAGAUUGGAGUCUGCAACUCGACUCCAUGAAGGUGGAAUCGCUAGUAAUCGCGGAUCAGCAUGCCGCGGUGAAUACGUUCCCGGGCCUU